RNAcentral lists this ribosomal RNA (493 nucleotides) under uncultured bacterium. RNAcentral describes it as "partial 16S ribosomal RNA". It matches the Rfam family "Bacterial small subunit ribosomal RNA", at positions 28 to 506 of the family's 1533-position model. The record is from RNAcentral.
GACGAACGCUGGCGGCGUGCUUAACACAUGCAAGUCGAACGGUGAAGCGCCUUCCUUUUUGGUGGGUGUGGAUGAGUGGCGAACGGGUGAGUAACACGUGAGUAACCUGCCCCCUUCUUCUGGAUAACCGCAUGAAAGUGUGGCUAAUACGGGAUAUUCUGGGUCUGUCGCAUGAUGGGUCUGGGAAAGAUAUUGUUUCGGUGGGGGAUGGGCUCGCGGCCUAUCAGCUUGUUGGUGGGGUGAUGGCCUACCAAGGCGGUGACGGGUAGCCGGCCUGAGAGGGUGGCGGUCCCACGGGGGAAGGGGACCCGGCCGGAACUCCACAGGGGGGGCGCUGUGGGGAAUGUUGCAAAAGGGGCGAAAGCCUGAAGGGGCGGCGCCGGGUGGGGGAGGGGGGCCGUGGGGUUGUAAACCCUUUUCGCCGGUGAAGCAGGCCGGCUUGGUUUGUGGGUGGGUGGGCGGAAGGGGGAAAAGAAGCCCCGGCAAACUCCUG